CCCUUAGAUGUCCUGGGCCGCACGCGCGUUACACUGAUGCAUUCAACGAGCUUAUAACCUUGGCCGAGAGGCCUGGGCAAUCUUGUUAACGUGCAUCGUGAUAGGGAUAGAUUAUUGAAAUUAUUAAUCUUGAACGAGGAAUUCCUAGUAAACGCAGAUCAUCAAUCUGCAUUGAUUACGUCCCUGCCCUUUGUACACACUGCCCGUCGCACCUACCGAUUGGAUGGUCCGGUGAAGCCUCGGGAUUGUGGUUCUUGCCGCUUUAUUGUGGCGUGACCGCGAGAACUUGUCUAAACCUGAUCAUCUAGAGGAAGGUGAAGUCGUAACA
RNAcentral lists this ribosomal RNA (328 nucleotides) under uncultured eukaryote. RNAcentral's name for it is "partial 18S ribosomal RNA". It matches the Rfam family "Eukaryotic small subunit ribosomal RNA", at positions 1470 to 1796 of the family's 1831-position model. The record is from RNAcentral.